Mandrillus leucophaeus (drill) is the source of this 704-nucleotide long non-coding RNA. RefSeq lists it as uncharacterized. NCBI's taxonomy places the organism in Eukaryota, Metazoa, Chordata, Mammalia, Primates, Cercopithecidae. The transcript is spliced from 2 exons. The record is from RefSeq and is a predicted model, not a curated record.
GGUGGGAAGUACGGACAGGUGAUGAUACUUGCAAGAAGUUUCCUGCAAUCUCACUCUGUCACCUAGGCUAGAGAGCAGUGGUGAGAUCUCGUCUCACUGCAACCUCUGCCUCCCAGGUUCAAGCAAUUCUCCUGCCUCAGCCACCCAGGUAGCUAGGACUACAGGCAUGCGCCACCAUGCCCAGUUAAUUUUUGUAUUUUCAGUAGAGAUGGGGUCUCAACAUGCUGGCCAGGUUGGUCUUAAACUCCUGGCCUCAAGAGAUCUGUCUGCCUCAGCCUCCCAAAGUGCUGGGAUUACAGGCGUGAUCCACUGCACCCAGCCCUGAUUCACUGACUACUGAAACACCAGGAAUUCAAGGAUAAUAUCAGGAUUUACGUAGGUGAACUCCUUAAAAUCACAAAGUAAUAGUAGUGGUUUCAAUUGUCCAUUUUAAAGUAUCUACAAAAUCACUUUUUUGGUGUUAUAAUUCUUUUAAUGAGUUAAGUUGAAUAAAGGAAUAUAGCAAGUACUGAUACUAAAUAAAAACUGCUACCAAAUAUUUGACUUAUAAGACCAGUAUUAUUAUUAUUCAUGUGUUAUUAUUUUUCAUGGAUUUUUGAAGGCCACAAAUAUCUGAAAAACAUUUUAAUCUGGCCAGUUGAAAACUAGUGAAUUUCAACCAGAUGUUUUUAAUACCACUUUAAAAAUAAACUUCAGCCAUUUUA